UCCAAAAUGGCAGCUCUGUUGGUUGGAUCAAUUCAGUCAAUGAAUGGACUGGUUUGAGACAAUCAAAAUGAUUAUGAGCAAGACCUGGACUCUGAGAGCAUCAAGUCAGCAUUGCCCCUGCUCCCAUCCAAAGGCAGGGUUAUCUCCCCUCUGAUUGAAUCUGGGCUGGCCUCAGAAUAGAACACAGCAGAAGUUAGGCUGGUCAGCUUCCAGCCCUUGG
Orcinus orca (killer whale) is the source of this 220-nucleotide long non-coding RNA. RefSeq lists it as uncharacterized. The record is from RefSeq and is a predicted model, not a curated record. The transcript has 3 exons. Lineage: Eukaryota; Metazoa; Chordata; Mammalia; Artiodactyla; Delphinidae.